UGCUUGGGAAUUUGCCUUAGAGUGGGGGACAACAGUUGGAAACGACUGCUAAUACCGCAUGAUGUCUACGGACCAAAGGGGGCUUCGGCUCUCGCUCUUUGAGAAGCCCAAGUGGGAUUAGCUAGUUGGUGAGGUAAAGGCUCACCAAGGCGACGAUCCCUAGCUGGUCUGAGAGGAUGAUCAGCCACACUGGAACUGAGACACGGUCCAGACUCCUACGGGAGGCAGCAGUGGGGAAUAUUGCACAAUGGGUGCAAGCCUGAUGCAGCCAUGCCGCGUGUGUGAAGAAGGCCUUAGGGU
RNAcentral lists this ribosomal RNA (300 nucleotides) under uncultured Pseudoalteromonas sp. Its description in RNAcentral is "bacterial SSU rRNA". It matches the Rfam family "Bacterial small subunit ribosomal RNA", at positions 114 to 423 of the family's 1533-position model. The record is from RNAcentral. Lineage: Bacteria; Pseudomonadati; Pseudomonadota; Gammaproteobacteria; Alteromonadales; Pseudoalteromonadaceae.